Taeniopygia guttata (zebra finch) is the source of this 3577-nucleotide long non-coding RNA. The record is from Ensembl. NCBI's taxonomy places the organism in Eukaryota, Metazoa, Chordata, Aves, Passeriformes, Estrildidae.
UCUGGCAGCAGGAACACUGUAAAACCAAGAGCGAGCCAAUGACAAUCUAUUUAUAUACAAGAUCAUACAAUAUUUCAAGUUGGAAGGGACCAAGAAGGAUCACCAAGUGUGACUCCCUGCUCCCUGCAGGAUUACUGAACACUAAACCUGCACUGAGCACGGUCCAGGUGCUCCGGGAGCUGAGAUUUGGGGCUGUGCCCAUCCCUGGGAGCCUCUCCCUGUGCCUGACCCCCUCUGGGGGAAGAACCUUCCCCUGGUGCCCAACCUGACUGCUCAUCUUUUAUUCCCUGUGCUGUUUAUUUGACAUUUACACUUCAAAUCAAUUAACACUGUGCCUCUGCAAUGGAUGGAGCACUGCCUCUCCUCGAUGCAAUUACCAUAAAAACACAAACCAGGGCAGCAAUUCUGUGAGCACUGAGUGAAAGAUUACACCAGAACCCCCGAGAGCCAGAGUGAGCUCCAAAGGCAGCUCCACUGAAUUCUGACUGCAAUGAAAAAUCCUGGCAGGUGCUUCCCUGAAAUUCCCAAAAAUUUAUACUGUAUAAAAUUGAAACAGCAUUUAGAGGUUGCUGCUAAUCUGACCCCUGAAAAAACCACUAUUACUGAUGCCAGAUCUGUUUGUUUCAGCCUGAGCAUCCCAGGAAUUCCCAUCCAAUGGAAGCAGGAGGGAUGGGAAUGUGUCCUGCAGGUUCUGUCUCAGGGCAGGAGAGCAGAACAGCUGAGAAACCUUCCCCCAGCCCAGCUACCAGCAUGUAAGGGCCAUGAAAUGAUAAAUGCCUGAACAAAAACCACAACACAAUCUCAAAGUUUUGCCUUCCAUAAAAAUCUUAAAACCUAUCGUUGUGGAAUACCAAGAAAACCUAUCAAGAAAACCCAUCACUGUGGAAUACCAAGAAAACCCAUCACUGUGGAAUACCAAGAAAACCCAUCACUGUGGAAUACCAAGAAAAUUUUACAAAGCACAGUUUGAUUUUAGGCUGUUUGCCUUAACUUGCCUGUGCAGCAAUCGACAAAAGAUUUUGGAGAUCCUUUUUCCAUCUGCAGAAAUGCUGGCUGAUGAUGAAAGACAAGAACAGCAUUUCCUUCCUCCCCACUGCAAUUCUGACCCCUUCAGCAUUUCUGCCCUGUCAUCACGUAUUUCACCUAAAUGCAGGUGUGUUUCCAGUCUGCCCCUGGCCAGGGGUUCCAGUCCUGUCUCUGCCAUUCCCCUCACGUUUACACCAUGCCUUUAAUCCGUGUAAUUUUUUGAUCUGCAUCAGAACAGUUCUGAAUUUGCACACAGCGCUCACAUUAAGUGGGUUGCAGAAUGCACACUGAGCUAAAGGUGAAUGAGUUGUCCUUCAUGCUAACUUUAUACCACUUCUGGGCUCCCCCAAGAUGCCAUUUUACCCAUAAAAUCCAUUUCUUUGCUGUUUUCAACAUAAAACUUAAAAGGUGCUGUGAAAAGUGCUGAAUAUCUUCAGUGGCAAAGGAGGAACCUGGGAUUUGCAGGAAGUAAUUAACUUUCCUUUGCCUUCCAAGCCCUCCCCAUCUCAAUCUUCCCAUUCUGCUUUGUCACUUUGGAAAAGUCUUUGGAGGAGCCAUCCCAGGAUUGAAGAGAGGCUGGAACCUCAGACUGCUGCCAGCUGAUGGCAGAGGACUGGAAAAUGAGCAGAAUACAGGCAUACCCUUUAUGUUUCUAACAGUAAAUUAUAUUUGACAUUUAUGAAUCAAGUUACCCUAAUCUAGAGCUCUACCACAACAACACUGAGAAAGCAAUGAAUCUUUCCAGAGGAAAACCCCAUUUUUAAAAAAAUUCAAGAUAAUUUUAGUCAUGAGUAAUUGAAAAUGUAAUUUAGAAUUCAUUCCUUUGCAUGGUUAAUUACAGCAGAAGAGUUUCCAAAGAUGAUGAUGAUCUAAUGAAAUAAUAUUCUUUUCUGAAACAUGAUAUCAGAGUAAAUAAAAUACUAAAAUGCAAAUUAAUAUGGCUAUUUGGAUUGUGUUGAGAACAUUAAACGCAUAUCAAAGUCUAAACCAGUCCUGAGGCUCAGGUAUUGCACCUGCAAUCAUCUCUUGGAAUUUAAAGGAUUGAACAACGUAGACAAGCCUCCAAAACUUCUGACAGCAGCUCUAUAUCCUUAGUUCACCACAAGGACAAAAUGGUUUUAUUCAUGAGUGUGCCAUCAGUCCCCAGCUCUCCUGAAGCCCAGAAUGGAUUUCCCAGCCUCAGCACACAGCAAAGCCAAGGCUUUAUCUCCAUUCCCCAUGAAUUCUGCACUCCUCUUCCAGAGGAAAACAGAGGCCAUGUGUUUAACCAAAACACCUCAUUCAGAAAGAGAAUAAAGCCCUUUUGCAGCGACUGUCUGCAAUCCACCUGCAGCUACGGAGCAGCAGCACAAUCUGUGACCUUAUUCCUUUUUCAUAAAGGGCACUUGAGCUAAAUGAACUCCUUGCCCACGUUCCCGGAAAACAAAAGUCUUGAUUUGACCUCAGAGUUUCUGCAGCAGUCCCCAAAGCCGCUCUCUUUUCCCUGUGCAGCUCCAGCAGAUUGGAAGGUCAGCACUGGGUACACGGAUGAUGCAAUUACAGCUUUCUGAACAUUUUUGUCUGGAGAUCUUUAGAAUAAUUUAAGUGCUCUGAGUAUAACCGAGUGAAAAAGGAGCUGUCACGCAUGAACCACAUCAGAAAUUUCCCAUGCUGAGGCAAAUGGCUGAUUUCAAAUUGCUACCAUUGCACCUGGAGUUAAAUUGUCCAUUUUGCUAAUGUGGGAUGUCUUAUUCUGGACUAAAAUAUGGAUUUUCCUAAUAAUUUUAAUUCUCGAAGUUACAGAUAAUUUCAAACUCCCAGUAUCACACUCCCAAAGCUGUCUGUCCCUGUGGGAAGAGUGAGGGGUGUGUGCGUAUCCAAAGAGCUGUUCCCUGAUAGAUUCUCCCUGACAGUGCUCAGUGAGAACAUCACACACCCCAAAUAUUGGCCAAACACACAAAUCCCAACUUGGUCAAACACACAAACCCCAAAUAUUGGCCAAACACACAAACCCCAAAUAUUGGCCAAACACACAAACCCCAAAUAUUGACCAAACAAACCCCAAAUAUUGGCCAAUAGGGUCUAGAGCAAAGGCUGCAAAUGCCAGGAUACUCCCAGAGGUAUCCCAAGACCAAAGUAAGGAUCAGAAACACGUGCUGCCACCACAGCAGCACCAGCAGAGCUCUCAGGAGGAGUUUAUUAGGAUGCCUUUAAGUGCUCAGCUUCAUAAAACAUAAAUACCACGGCCCUGUCUCUUUGUAUUUGUGCAUAAUCCAGCGAGGAGAUGGCAAAGUCAGGCUGCCCCUGGGUUUUCUCUCUGAGUCACCUUGACUAGAGCAGCACAUUUCUGCUGGCAGCAGAGCAGCAGAACAUGGAACAGCCCCACCAGUGCCUCUCAGCACAGCCAAACUGCUCCUCUCCACCCCUCUCCAUCCCCCAAGAGCCUCAAACCCUUUAUUGCAGAAUUGCCAUUUUCAGUUCCUUGUGGUCAUGAUCAUACCUUCCUUUAAAACAGCUCUGUCAAGAAGCAGACUAUAUGUGAAGCUGCAUGAAAAAAAAAAAAAAGAAAAAA